Molecule: long non-coding RNA, 1467 nt
Filed under: Parus major (Great Tit)
Lineage: Eukaryota; Metazoa; Chordata; Aves; Passeriformes; Paridae
Description: lncRNA (ENSPMJG00000003765.1)
Source: RNAcentral
AUACCAACAACAGUGUGCCACUAGAAAACACCAGGAACGCAUAAAGAGCAUCCCUAUCACCUGCACGCUUCAGAGUCUUCUGCAUUUGCUAACGAUGGAUCACUCCCUGGCAGGCAGCAGAAGGGAUCCAGCAGACCCCCACACCGCCAGCCUCACUCACCCAGAAGUAAUCCCUGCUCCAGCCGCACAGCCACCGCGUCCCAACAAUGUCCUCCGGCGAGGAGAGGAGCCGCAGAACUGAACUUUCACUCCCAAAAGGCGCAGGAGAGCCGCCCUGCACGCCUGCCCGACCGCUGCCCGAGUUCCAGGGCACAGAGCUCGGGAGGUGCAGCGCGCAGCCGGCUGAAGGACGGGCACCGCGGCUCCCCCUGAGCGGGAUCCCACUCACAAGGCGCGCAUCGCUGCCGCUCCGCUCUCGCACACCGAGCCGCUCUGCACAGCGAGCGCGGCCGAGACCCACUGCCUUGUUUUAACCACAGCUGUAAACAUCAAGUUUUUGGGGGUUUGGGUUGUUUGGGGUUUUGGUUUUGUAAAUUUCGGCCAAGACAGCCGUUCAUUCAGGCCAACGCCGCCCAGCAGGCGAGCAGCCGCAGCGGUGCCGGGCUGACAGGGUCCCGAGCACAGCCCGGCGCUCCAUGCUUCCAAAGCAGCCCCCGACGCGCCUCGGGAGCGCUUUUGUCUGCGGAGGAGAAGGCACGGAGCGCCCGGGCGCUGCCGCCACAUCACCGCGCUCCUGGGCUGCCGCCCAAAACAGCGCCCGCGCCGCCCCGCGCCCCGCCGGGCAGCGGGAGGACGUGGCCGGAGCCCCGCGAUGCUCGGAGCCUCCGCGAUGCCCGGAGUCUCCGCGAUGCCCGGAGUCUCCGCGAUGCCCGGAGUCUCCGCGAUGCCCGGAGCCCCGAGACGCCCGGAGCUCCGAGUUGCGGCGGGGGUGGCGCGGCCCCGAGCGGGGGGCACGGACGCGCGCGGAAGGCGCCGCUCCAGCCGGGACCGCGGGGGCACGGCCGGCAGCGAGCCCCGCUCCCCUCCCCGUCUCUCCCCACGCCGGAUGCAGCGCGGCGGGCGAGGAACCGAUCUCCUCCUCUCCCGCUCCCGCCCAGCUGCCGAUACAGUUCUGCCAUCAUACUCACAGCGCGGCCCUCGCUUGUCGCACCUUCCGUGCCGAUGUGCCUCCCUUCGCCUCCACGGCUGCAGUGACUUUCCAUGCCUUCUGCGGGUGUGUGGGUCCGACGGGGAGCAGGGCAUCCACUGGUGUAAUAGGCCCUGUGCAUUGCUGUUGCCUCGACGGAAAAUCAUUACCCAGUAAUGGAUGAGCCAGUUCGGAAGGAGUGCCACUGGGAUACUGCACACUUUCAUUCAAAGAUGCUAUGUAUUAGAGGAAGUAGCAGGAGACCUGCCAACUUUCCCAAUUUAAUUAUUAAACUGUCAGUUCCUGACUCCUUGUUUCAACUUCCUGAGGCAACAUCUGGC